This is a long non-coding RNA of Ziziphus jujuba (common jujube), 2028 nucleotides long. RefSeq lists it as uncharacterized. The record is from RefSeq and is a predicted model, not a curated record. Lineage: Eukaryota; Viridiplantae; Streptophyta; Magnoliopsida; Rosales; Rhamnaceae. The transcript has 7 exons.
UUCACCAGCCUUUUUCUUCUCCUUCAUCACCUUUCUCCCAAAGCUGGCUCACCUCUUCUCAUUCAUGAAGAUUUCUUCACUUAGUUGCCUUUUUGCCAAACAACCUGGUUUUAUCUAUCAGGUCACUAAAAUUCCAUACAUACCUGUUCAAUUUGAUAGUUCAGAAUUCGGAAUUAGGGUAUUGUGAAGAAAGAGAAUUUUAAAAGAAUUAGGGUAUUGCGUUGCCACCUCGUUACAAAAAAUUCCUUUUUCUUCCACGCAAUCCAAUACCCAAUAGCCCAAACCCCUCUCCAUCGUCUUUUCGUUUCCUCUGCCUUUUGUUUUUUUAAGAAAAAAAAACAUUACAUUACUCAAAAAUUUAAUUUAAUAUCCUUUUUCAACCUUCUCGUUGUUAUUUCUUUUUGUUCCUUUGGUGUUUCUUCAACCUUUGUUUUAUGUUUCCGCGAACCAAAGAAUCAGCCAAACUAUUUUUCUAGAUUGUUAAGGCUUCAGAAGAAGCUGUGUAUGUCAGAGACCUCUCAGAUGAUUUGCUGCAGCCAACUACAAAACGGUCUCACAAUGUCUCAACCAAGGAAGUCAUAUUCUGGAAAAUUUUUAAGUGCCAACAAUUGAAGUGUUCUCUGCAGCUGCUCUAACACCUGCACUAGCAGCACCAGAGAUGAGAAUGAACUGAGGGAGGAAUCAGAAGCCCUUUGUUGGAGAACCCGAAUAUAUCCCCCUAGAAAGGCUUGCCAGACAAGGCAUCAACAACAAGAUUUGCAUUUGGUUGGGUGGGUUCUUCCCUGUGGUACUGUCAAAUAGCUGGUGAAAAUCUGAGAGUUUUGAUAUGUUUGCCUGCAUUUGGGAAGCUUCACAAAAAAGUAUUGCAGAUGCCUUCUGUGGGUUUGGGUUAUCAAAUGUUGAACUAAGCGAGCUUGUCUUGUCCUGUGCUCCCUUUUUUCUUUGUAUAAACAUUCUUUUUGGAAAAAGGAAUAUAUAUAUUUAGGAAUCAAUUUCUAAAAUGAUUAAUAGGAAGAGUAACUCUUGGAAUCCGUCAUUUCUAUUACAAUAGUCUUGAUAUUACAGAUAAUAAAAUUCAAACCAUGCCAUGGGCAGCGAUUCUUGAAAAGGUUGUCCAGCUACAAAGUUUGCAAUAGCUUUGUGUGGUUAAGGAUCUUUCUGCUCAUGAUGUGGUGAUGCAAUUGAUGCAGAAGGAAAACUACUUGAUCGGAAUGCUUAACAAGGGAGUACUUGCAUUUCCAAUCUCAAAAUGGGUCCCUGGUGCUGGUCCAACUGUCAAAUCUGGUUCAAAGGGAAAGUGCCAUCGUUUGAUACUGACUAAAACCCUUGAGUGGACCUUAAAUUGGUGCAUACUACAGAGCAUGUUUGAUAGUGGAGUUGGAAGGUUUGAAAAAAGCACACAUUCGAGAUGGCGUUGCAGUGGUGCAAUAUCUUGUCUGGUUGGAUAAGCAGGAGAUAUAUGGGGUUCCUGGUUACUUCUUGGAGGGAGACGAAGUGACUAAGAAAAAGCAAUUCAUGUAAGCAUCGACAUAUCUCUCUAUAUUUCCUUUGCUCGGCGCAUUACUCAGUUUACUCACUCCGUGAUGCAUAUUCGGAAACCAUAUAUCCACUUGGAGAUAAAAGUCAGUGGCAUGCUCCAGAUGAUGUCAUAAACCAGGUUGUACUUCCACCUCAAAUUGGCAAACAGUCAGGAAGACCGAGAAAGAAGAGGAUUCAAUCUCAAGGAGAGGAGCGUCAUCAAUAUAGAUGCGGGAGGUGCAAACAGGUUGGUCACAGCAGCCGAUCAUGCUCCGCCGCCGUAUCUCUUGAUAGCACUAACAACCAACAGCACCACUGAAACGAACGCCCAUAAAUGGCAUGAUGCUAUAUUCAGACAAUGAGGCCAUGUUAUGUGGUAUGCGUGUGUAUGAAAUGUAGUCAGGAAUGCAAUUAGUUGGUCAACCGCGUAACGUGUGUUUUGGCGUAAUAGACGUUGGCUUUAUGUGUUCUUUUAUUGUCAAAUUCAUCUGUCGUAUUGAUUUGAUAACA